RNAcentral lists this long non-coding RNA (964 nucleotides) under Sus scrofa (pig). RNAcentral describes it as "lncRNA (ENSSSCG00060073352.1)". The record is from RNAcentral. Lineage: Eukaryota; Metazoa; Chordata; Mammalia; Artiodactyla; Suidae.
AUGACAAACCCGACUAACAUCCACGUGGAUGCAGAUUUUCUUAUUGUCACCUUAUUCUUGGACCAAAAACAGGGAUAUGGAGAGAGAGGAGAGCUCUCUUUCUCUCUGCUCUCACCACUGCUGCAACACAGCCCACCAAUCCAAGGAGCAUCAUCUACCAGGCCCCAUUCAUGGUUGUUUCUGAGACAGCCUUGGUCCUUGCCCAAGGGCCCUAUUAAAGUUUACGUCGGGUUAGAUGCGUUCAGUUUGCUCCACUUCUGCAGAUCCAUCCACUACUUCCACUCAUUUAAUGGAAGUCUCAGCCUUCUUUUUUUUUUUCUUAAACUGAGUCUCCCUGUGUUCUUUUCCUCCAAGACCGGGUCGAUUUGUACACAGGCUUUGGAAACAUAAAACUAAUUAUGUUGUCAUUCACCUGACAAUGGUUUUAUAAAGCACAUAGACCUGAACAUUUUUUGCUUGUUUUGUGGGGUUUUGUUUGUUUGUUUGGGGGGGGGGUCUAUUUUUGUUUGUUGUUUUGCUUUGGCUGAGCCUGAACCUUGUGGAAAUUCCCCGGGGGCUGGAAUCAAACCCGAGCCACAGCAGGGCUCCAAACCACUGCAGUGACAAUACUGGAUCCUUAAUCUGAUGCAUCACAAGGGAACUCCAAGAUGAAGUGUUUUUUUUCUUUUUUUCUUGUUAGGGCCACAGGUGUGGCAUACGGAGAUUCCCUGGCUAGGGGUCAAAUGGGAAGUGCAGCUGCCAGCCUAUGCCACAGCAACAGCAACGGCAGGUCUGAGCACCAUCUGCAAACUACCCCAAAUCUUGUGGCAACACCAGAUCCUUAACCCACUGAGCGAGGCCAGGGAUUGAACCCCCAUCCUCAUGGUGCCUAUGUGGGGUUCUUAACCUGCUGAGCCAUAAUGGGAACUCCUGCUGAGCCACAGUGGGACAUGAAUAUUUUAAGUGUUUAAAUAUAACAAUUUAU